Molecule: long non-coding RNA, 816 nt
Filed under: Oryza sativa Indica Group (long-grained rice)
Lineage: Eukaryota; Viridiplantae; Streptophyta; Magnoliopsida; Poales; Poaceae
Description: lncRNA OsZS97_03G033960
Source: RNAcentral
GAGGGGCAGCCAGGGAGGCGGGGAGUUGCUGCCAACACCAGGGGAGGGAAGCAGCCGUCGGCCGCCACUCCGGGGAGGGGGGAGCAGCAGCCACCGGAUAACUGUGAGAGGAGCCGCUGCCCUCGAAUCCGCCGCAGGAGGAAGCUGCUGCCACCCGAUCCACUCUCAGCCGGCGCCACCGCCGCCGGAUCCACACGCGGUCGCCGUCCCCGCUGUCAGAUCCACCGUGGGAGGGAGGAGAGAGGGGGCAGAGGGAGCCGCCGCCGCUGGAUCCGUCCUUAUCCGCUGCCGGAUCCACCCGCGGCCGCCGCCGACGCCGCCAUCGAUGCCGGAUCUACCGCGGGAGGGAGGCGAGAUGGAGAGGAGGAGAUGGCGAGCGAGGCGAAUCCAUCCGUGGCUCACUCGGCCUCCCCGUCUCCGACCACUCUCUCCGCCUCAAGCUGCUCGCCUCCGAAUACCACCGCCGCCUCCACGUCUUCGCGCUCCAGGAGGACCUCCAUGGUGAUGGCAUCGUGGAUCUGGCCGGCAACUCGAGGGAAAAAGAAGGCCGGCGACGAUGUUGUGGAUAGGCCGUUGACGAUGUGGUGGAUCGGCCGGCAACCGAGGUUCUUAGUGUCGAUCAAAGCGAUCGCCUCUGCCGUACGACGCGGCGUCAUGCAUGUCAUGUCGCAUAUGACGGCGAGCCGCCUAGCCCGGUUAAGGAAUCUCAUAGCGGUGAGCGACAUGUCAGGGAAAGAUGGCGAGGUUGACCUGCGAGGUGGCGCCGCGGCCAAGACUAGAUGGGGGAACCCGCCCGUGCCGCGGUGGACCGCAUGA